GACGAACGCUGGCGGCGUGCCUAAUACAUGCAAGUCGAACGCUGAAGGAGGAGCUUGCUUCUCUGGAUGAGUUGCGAACGGGUGAGUAACGCGUAGGUAACCUGCCUGGUAGCGGGGGAUAACUAUUGGAAACGAUAGCUAAUACCGCAUAAGAGUAGAUGUCGCAUGACAUUUGCUUAAAAGGUGCAAUUGCAUCACUACCAGAUGGACCUGCGUUGUAUUAGCUAGUUGGUGAGGUAACGGCUCACCAAGGCAACGAUACAUAGCCGACCUGAGAGGGUGAUCGGCCACACUGGGACUGAGACACGGCCCAGACUCCUACGGGAGGCAGCAGUAGGGAAUCUUCGGCAAUGGACGGAAGUCUGACCGAGCAACGCCGCGUGAGUGAAGAAGGUUUUCGGAUCGUAAAGCUCUGUUGUAAGAGGAGAACGAGUGUGAGAGUGGAAAGUUCACACUGUGACGGUAUCUUACCAGAAAGGGACGGCUAACUACGUG
RNAcentral lists this ribosomal RNA (495 nucleotides) under uncultured bacterium. Its description in RNAcentral is "partial 16S ribosomal RNA". It matches the Rfam family "Bacterial small subunit ribosomal RNA", at positions 28 to 507 of the family's 1533-position model. The record is from RNAcentral.